AUACGGAGGGAGCGAGCGUUAAUCGGAAUUACUGGGCGUAAAGCGCGCGUAGGCGGCUUUGUAAGUCGGAUGUGAAAGCCCUGGGCUCAACCUGGGAAUGGCAUUCGAUACUGCAGAGCUAGAGUAUGGUAGAGGGAAGUGGAAUUUCCGGUGUAGCGGUGAAAUGCGUAGAUAUCGGAAGGAACACCAGUGGCGAAGGCGACUUCCUGGGCCAAUACUGACGCUGAGGUGCGAAAGCGUGGGGAGCAAACAGGAUUAGAAACCCCAGUAGUCC
RNAcentral lists this ribosomal RNA (274 nucleotides) under uncultured bacterium. RNAcentral's name for it is "partial 16S ribosomal RNA". It matches the Rfam family "Bacterial small subunit ribosomal RNA", at positions 523 to 796 of the family's 1533-position model. The record is from RNAcentral.